This 460-nucleotide ribosomal RNA is filed under the name uncultured bacterium. Its description in RNAcentral is "partial 16S ribosomal RNA". It matches the Rfam family "Bacterial small subunit ribosomal RNA", at positions 338 to 795 of the family's 1533-position model. The record is from RNAcentral.
CCUACGGGAGGCAGCAGUGAGGAAUAUUGGUCAAUGGACGAGAGUCUGAACCAGCCAAGUAGCGUGAAGGAUGACUGCCCUAUGGGUUGUAAACUUCUUUUAUAUGGGAAUAAAAUGUUCCACGUGUGGGAGUUUGUAUGUACCAUAUGAAUAAGGAUCGGCUACCUCCGUGCCAGCAGCCGCGGUAAUACGGAGGCUCCGAGCGUUAUCCGGAUUUAUUGGGUUUAAAGGGAGCGUAGGUGGAUUGUUAAGUCAGUUGUGAAAGUUUGCGGCUCAACCGUAAAAUUGCAGUUGAAACUGGCAGUCUUGAGUACAGUAGAGGUGGGCGGAAUUCGUGGUGUAGCGGUGAAAUGCUUAGAUAUCACGAAGAACUCCGAUUGCGAAGGCAGCUCACUGGACUGCAACUGACACUGAGGCUCGAAAGUGUGGGUAUCAAACAGGAUUAGAUACCCGAGUAGUC